This is a long non-coding RNA of Homo sapiens (human), 975 nucleotides long. Ensembl annotates it as tektin 4 pseudogene 2. Its record names the gene TEKT4P2. The record is from Ensembl. NCBI's taxonomy places the organism in Eukaryota, Metazoa, Chordata, Mammalia, Primates, Hominidae.
AGCGGCGGUCGUGUAGCUGAGCAGGCCUGGGGCUUGGUUCUAUGUCCCUGUAGUGUCCUCUGGGUGUUUCCAAGAGCAACAAGAAACGAAUAAAUCUCUGCCCCGCAGCGCCUCCACCCCAGAGACCCGGACCAAGUUCACACAGGACAAUCUGUGCCACGCCCAGCGCGAGCGCCUGGACUCGGCCAACCUGUGGGUGCUGGUGGACUGCAUCCUUCGCGACACCUCCGAGGACCUGGGACUCCAGUGUGACGCCGUGAACCUGGCCUUCGGGCGCCGCUGUGAGGAACUGGAGGACGCGCGGCACAAGCUGCAGCACCACCUGCACAAGAUGCUGCGGGAAAUCACAGAUCAGGAACACAACGUGGUGGCACUGAAGGAGGCCAUCAAGGACAAGGAGGAACCUCUGCACAUAGCCCAGACCCGGCUGUAGUUGCUCUCACACCGGCCCAACAUGCAGCUGUGCCGCGAUGCAGCCCAGUUCAGGUGCUGAGAGGGGAGGGAGACUCUGCGGCCACACACAACAUGCAAGCACGCCUUAAACACACAGAUAUAGACAUGACACUGGGCAGGUCAUGGGUCGGGGGCCUCCCCGUGCCAGGGACCUGUGCCCACGUGGUCUCACCCCACCCUGUGCUACCUCAUCUUCCCGGGAGGAAGCUCCUUCAGACAAGCCCCAGCUCACACCCCCCAACACCCCCAAGCUGGUGAGUGAGGUGGAGGAGCUGUACAAGUCCAUCACAGCGCUGCGGGAGAAGCUUCUACAAGCGGAGCAGUCCCUGCGCAACCUCAAGGACAUCCACAUGAGCCUGGAGAAGGACGUCACUGCCAUGACCAACAGUCUCUUCAUCGACCGCCAGAAGUGCAUGGCCCAUCGUACUUGCUACCCCACCAUUCUGCAGCUGGCUGGCUACCAGUGAGCAGCGGCACGGUGCUUCCCCCCAAUCCCCCAAAUAAACAGUGCGUUAGCUUUCU